GUGCUUAACACAUGCAAGUCGAGUGCGCGCCUGUAGCAAUACAGGUGGCGCACGGCGCACGGGUGCGUAACACGUGGGCAAUCUGCCCUCUGAUGGGGAAUAACCCGCCGAAAGGCGGGCUAAUACCGCAUAACAUUCCUUGGACUCAUGUUCGAGGACUGAAAGGCGUAAGUCGUCGGAGGAGGAGCCCGCGCCCGAUUAGCUAGUUGGUAGGGUAACGGCCUACCAAGGCUUUGAUCGGUAGCUGGUCUGAGAGGAUGGCCAGCCACACUGGAACUGAGACACGGUCCAG
This 292-nucleotide ribosomal RNA is filed under the name uncultured bacterium. RNAcentral's name for it is "partial 16S ribosomal RNA". It matches the Rfam family "Bacterial small subunit ribosomal RNA", at positions 44 to 334 of the family's 1533-position model. The record is from RNAcentral.